AUUGAACGCUGGCGGCAUGCCUUACACAUGCAAGCCGAACGGUAACGCGGGGCAACCUGGCGACGAGUGGCGAACGGGUGAGUAAUGUAUCGGAACGUGCCCAGUUGUGGGGGAUAACUGCUCGAAAGAGCAGCUAAUACCGCAUACGACCUGAGGGUGAAAGCGGGGGAUCGCAAGACCUCGCGCAAUUGGAGCGGCCGAUAUCAGAUUAGGUAGUUGGUGGGGUAAAGGCUCACCAAGCCGACGAUCUGUAGCUGGUCUGAGAGGACGACCAGCCACACUGGGACUGAGACACGGCCCAGACUCCUACGGGAGGCAGCAGUGGGGAAUUUUGGACAAUGGACGCAAGUCUGAUCCAGCCAUGCCGUGUGCGGGAAGAAGGCCUUCGGGUUGUAAACCGCUUUUGUCAGGGAAGAGAAGGCUCCUUCUAAUAUAGGGGGCUCAUGACGGUACCUGAAGAAUAAGCACCGGCUAACUACGUGCCAGCCGCCGCAGUAA
This 498-nucleotide ribosomal RNA is filed under the name uncultured bacterium. RNAcentral's name for it is "partial 16S ribosomal RNA". It matches the Rfam family "Bacterial small subunit ribosomal RNA", at positions 29 to 523 of the family's 1533-position model. The record is from RNAcentral.